This is an RNA transcript of Hypanus sabinus (Atlantic stingray), 5748 nucleotides long. It is a transcript of the gene named THAP domain-containing protein 2-like, with no coding region annotated. Lineage: Eukaryota; Metazoa; Chordata; Chondrichthyes; Myliobatiformes; Dasyatidae. The record is from RefSeq and is a predicted model, not a curated record. The transcript has 4 exons.
AGUGGGGGGGGGGGCAAAAAGGGCAUUUCGGACGCUGUAAAAGCAAACCGUUUUGUGAUUGGAAUUGGAGGGAAGAGAAAAAUUAUUUCUCAUCCCUCCUGAUAAUGCCAACCAGUUGCGCGGCCUAUGGGUGCACGGCAGUGUACAGGAAGAACACCAACACCAGCUUCCACAGGUUUCCCUCUAACCCCAGGAGACGGAUGGAGUGGAUACAACUUGUUCGGCGGGAAAACUUCAAGCCAAGCAAACACACUUUCCUUUGCUCCAAACAUUUUGAGCAAACCUGCUUUGACCGGACAGGACAGACCAGACGCUUGCGAGAAGAUGCCGUCCCUACAAUAUUUGAUUUCCCUCCACAUAUUCAAAAAAAAUUAGCAGGCAGAAAGUCCCCCCUGACUUCUGGGGGCAUCAGUAACGAACAAACCCCACCCAAGUCCUUCACCAGCUCUGGCAGUAACACUAACAUUAGCACAAAUACAUGUAGUAGUACCAGUACCCAAACCAGCAGCAUCAAGGAAGUGUUCCAAGAGCACAGUUACUGUUUGGCAAAUCCUGUUGUCGCCAAGAGGAAGAUAAUCCAGCUACAGGAUGAAGUGGAUUACCUCAGGCAGCAGAUAAAGAUCAGCAAGCAGCGGGAACGCCGCGUGGUCAAGAAGUGGAGAGGGGUCAGCAAUCUUCUCGUGGAGCUCAGAGAGAAAAACCUUCUGCCUAGUGACAAGGAGCCAGAGCUUAUUCAGACCGUCUUAAGUGACAAAUCGCUUAAAAAGCUAUGAGCUGACAGAAAUUCACCAGGGCAAAUGGUUCUGUGGCCCAGAAAAGGCAGUUUGUUUCAUUAUCUUUAACUCUAAAGCACAGAAGCAAAAUGGUUUUCAGCAGCCUUUCAUUCACCAAAUUGCAAUGCCUGGGUGCUUUUGUGUAUUUAUUGUUUAUCAACAAAUCAUUCACAAGUGAUGCACAUUGCAUUUGUUGAUGUAAAGUGUAACAGUGUUACAUGGCACCAGUGUUUGCGUUGGCAAUAAAUGUCUGCUCAGAAACACAGUCAGACAGGUGCUUUAUCAUGGUUUGUCAGAAGGUGUUGGACAGUUAAACCAUGCUGUGACAUUUUUAUUCAGCGAACCCUGACAAAUAACCAGCUUGAAAUGUGCCUUGACACCUCAUAACCAUUCUGAACUACAGCCUCAAAACCUUUCAGUGAUGCAUUCGAUUUCGAUACCAAUAGUUCUGUCUGGAAGUGCCCAAGAAGACUUGUGCCAGACAAUGGCACACCACAAACACAAUUGAGACUUCAUUUGAUACAGGAUUUCUGUGGAUAGCAGUAAAAGAGAUAAGGUGCUUAUUUGACUAACUGGAAAGAACAUUUGUCAAUAACUGGUGCUACACCUGCUAUUGUUUGAGCAACAAGAGGAUUCCCCGGCAGAUGCAGUCUUUUGAUGUGCCAUCCGUGGUGGUAGGUCUUUGGCAUUUGAUUGCCUUUUUUUAUGUUUUUUUUAGAAAGUGAUAAAAUAUAUUUUGAUUUACAGGAAAUCUAAUGGGAGCACACCAAGCACUUGUGCCAAAUCAGAAUCCAAACAGUAAACAGGGGAAUCAAAACCUAACAUCAGAUAAUAAUCUGUUGUUAACUCUUUUGUGUGACACUGAAGGAACUCGUACUAAUGAAGUAUUACCGUUCAUUGAGGUAAAUGAGGGCCUUAUUCAGAACUCCAGGAAAUUCUGAAAUGGCUCCCUCUUCCCUACAAACUAAAGCCCUGUGACUGCAAUUUACUCCCACUUGGCCACACAUUAGUGUCUUCCGUUGAGUCUGCUGGCUGUCCAACCGUGUACUGCAACUGUCGUAAAUAUGAAAUAAACUGAGUGAGGAAAGAGUCAUUGAAUGCUGACACCUGGCUAUUGACCAAUUGGAGAAGGAGAAGUAUUCAUUGUCACAUCAGUAGGUCUCAUCAAAGAAUGAUUAUGUUCCCUUUAGGAUUCACUUGCAGAACUUAUAAAACAACUGAUAUAAGCAUACUGGCAUGGUUAGAUAGCAUAUUGACAGAAUACAUAUUCAGGAAACCCAAUGCAGAAUUUUUAAUGUCAGUCACAUGAGGAGGAUGUCAGUUGACUUUUAGGUACUUGCCUGCAUCAAGAAGAUGGAUCAUUUCAUUAGACAUUCUGAUACUACAUAUUGUGGUAUUAUAGGAUCAUCGUAACUGGUCUAUCAAACAUUCAGCUAAUUGCAUGAUGAGUUCAAAAAGCCAGAGACUAAUUUCCACCCCAAUUCAUUAUUAAAGAGAAGAUGGAAUUUACACAAUGCUACAGCUGCCCUGAAAAUUACAGGUACCGGGGACAUGGGACAGGAAUAAGGCCAUUUAGCCUGUUCUAAUUAGUGUACAUCUGAUCAAAUCUUAAUGCUGCCCAAGACCUUGGAUCACUCUUACCUGACAAAAGCAUACCAACUGUGCUGUUUAUUUUUUGUGUUACCCAUUGAGUUCCCACUGCCAAAGGAACAAAUAUAGGAUUACAGGUUGAAAUAGGUCACAGGUUGGAUUUCUGUGGUCUGAUGAUUCCCAUGGUCUGACAUGUUUUGAGUCUAUAAUACAGAUCUGUACUAAUCAACUAACUCUACCUAAAACCUAACCAAGAUCUAAAGUAAAAUUUGUAUUAAUCCAUAUUUAAUUGACCAGUGCAACUUUAGCAAUAUCAGCCAAAAGUUUUCCCAGUUGACAGAAACUUAAGUUGACAGACAGUUCUUACAAUCUUCCCAUUUCCAUUGCCCCAACUUUCCCAUUAUAAGGAUCCUUCUCAGCUAUCAAAGGCCCUGCUUGAAUGCACGCAAAUGAACAUUUGGGAGACUGGUGGAAUGUAUGGAGAUGGAUUUGUUGGCUGCUGCUGGCAUCUUAUGCUACCUGGAAAACUGGUUCACAGCUGCCUUUCCACCUUGUGAGUUUAUGACCCCUAACGAUGACGUGACUGGUCAGGGCAAGAUAAUCGGGAGAAAUUCCUGAUCAGCUCCCAAGGGGUCAAGUACUUGUUUGCUGGUAUGUUGUAAAAGUGUAGCUCAUUAAUACUAGACAAUCUAUAUUACUUGCAACUUUUUGUCCGUGAAUAUUGUUAGCUGCAGGUAAAAACGAAAUUCAUGCUACACGUUUGUAUAUUCAAACCAGUUUGCCCAAUGCGAUUCACAAAAUGACACUUUAUGAAUGUAAAGUUUGUAACAUUGAAUGUAUUUUGAAAGGAGUUUCAAUUUAAAUUUCAACUACCUGCAUGUUGAGAAUAAGUGCACCUAAUUUAAAGUUUAAAGUCAACCUCCUCUCAGCUCCAACUAAUUCAGUAUCUCUUUCACCAAAUUCAAAAAAAGUUGAUUAAAAAGUAGCUUGAAGAUUCAUAAUCUCCAGGACCAUGAGGCAACAGCUGGGAACUAGUUUUAAACAAGAGUCCAUUUUUGGUUGCCAUGGUCACAAGCCAAAUGGUGUCCUUUUGUACUGUAAAUGCCCCUGCUAUUUUCCAGCCACUACACUGAAUAGUCUCUGAAAAUCUCUUCCUUCUACACUGAAUAGUCUCUGAAAAUCUCUUCCUAAUCUACAACUCUCCAUUCCCUUUUUUGUUUAAGAAUUUACUUAUUUCAAGAUAUUUUGGUCACCUACCUCUCACAUUUUAAUUCAGUUUUGGUGUUUACUUUCCAUGUGCCCAUCUGUGAAGUACCUUGUGAUUAUUUUUCUGCAUUACAUUCACUCUAUAAAUAGGGGUGGUAAUCAUUAAUAAGGGGAACUUAAUGUCAAUAAUAGUUUCAAUAUGCUAUACAAACCAUUCAAAGAUGCAUAAUGUUUGACAAAUUGAGUGCACAAAGUACAGGAAAACAUUUGUGAUAGUAUGUAGCAUGUGAGAGCAGAUUUGGAAGCUCAUAAUUCAUUUACUCCUGUUUGGGACUUGUUUUGAGAUUUCUUUCAGUCUGUGUUAGUACAAAAACAAAAAAGGCUGGGAAUCUGCUCUCAGACUACCAUAACAAUAGCUACCAGCAAAGGACAGGAUAUGGGUCCUUAUUAUUAAAUGGAAUAACUGACUGAACCUUUCCAUGUAAGCAGCAGUUUUGUGCACUAAUGAAUAUCACCAUCACAAAUAUUUGAACAGUACAGAACAGGAAGCACUAUCUGACCCACACAGACUGCAAUAAUUCUGUUGAAGGAAUGUACUCCCCUUCAUGCCCCUGCGCUGUUUUUACCCCUUAAAGUAUUUGUUCAAAUAACUUGUAGUAGUUUCUCUCCAGUGUCCUGCAAACAAUACAUUCAUGUGCUAACCCUUCAUUAUAUAUGAUGCUUUUCUUCUUAUCACCUAAUUAUUUUGCCAAUUACCUUAAACCUGUGCCUCUAAUUAUAGCCCCUGGCAUCAGUUUCUUUCUCUAAUCUCUUUAAGUGUUUCAAGAUUUUUGAUAUCCCUGUCAAAUUUCCCCGAGCCUCCUCCAUCAUAUGUUGUGAACAACAGAUUUCAUGACAUGUCAGUGAUAACAAACCUGAUUCUGAUCCCUAAAGAAACUAAUCCUUUAUCCCAUUAACCAUUAAACAAGUGGGCUAUAACCAUUGGUUUUGGAAAAGACUGCCUCAGUGAGAUCACUCUCAGGUUUGAUAUCUCAUAUUCUGUCUGGGUAGACUUCAACCUGAUGGCAUGAACCUUGAUUUCUAUACUUUCUAGUCAUUUCUCUAAACCCCCCACCUUCUCUUUUUCCAUUCCCCAUUCUGGCUUCUCUCUUGCCCUUCUCACCUUCCCAUUGGUGCCCCUCUCCCUUCUCUUUCUCCCAUGGUCCACUUUCUUCUAUUAGAUUCCUUCUUCAGCCCUUUACCUCUUCCGUCUAUCACCUCCCAGCUUCUCACAUCACCCCUUUCCACACCCACCCACCUUACCUGGCUUCACCUGUCAGCUGCCAGCUUGUGGCAUUUCCCUUUUCCUCACCUUCUGGCUUCUUUCCCCUAAUUCCCAGUCCUGAUGAGUGGUCUUGACCCAAAAUGACAACUGUUUAUUCUUCUCCAUAGAUGGUACCUCAAAUGCUGAGUUCCUCCAGCAUUAUGUAGGUUGUUCUCGUUUGUGGAAAAGAAACUACCUGUGCUGUUUUUUUAAAAACUACCCUUUUUUUCUUGUGGAAUAAUGUUUGCAAUUGACCAGAGGAAGAAUGGUGUGGAUGUAACAGGAUAGUGAUUGCUGUCCCAUUGUGUGCUGUUAUUCCACAAAUCAUUUCAGGGGAGAAUUCUGGUAUGGCAUAGAUCAAAUGCACCAUUUCACAAAGAGACUCUAAAGAUGCUGGAAAUCCAGAGCAACACACACAAAAUGCUGGAGCAACCCAGCAAGUCAGGCAGCCUCCACAGAAGGGAAUAAACAGUCUGCGUUUCGACCCCAGAUCCUUCAUAAGGACUCACGAGGAUCUGGUGAUGGGUCUCGGCCCGAAACUUCAAAUGUUUAUUCCCUCUGUAGAUGCUGCCUGACCUGCAGGGUUCCUCCAGCAUUUUGUGUGAGCUUCGUAAGGGUGAAUGCAAAGGAGAAAUAAACAGUGAAUCAGACUUAACAACUUGCUCCUUUCAAAUUUGUGUGUUUAAUUUGUUUACAGUGACUAGAGAGGCCAAGGUGCUAGUAUUUCAGAUUAACUAAAGGAGGUUGAGGAGUACCAUCUUUCUAGUCUUGCAGUCACAGAUCCAGGCAUGAGACUUAACAUGGAUUCUAUUUUAUUUAAUAUUGGUGUUCAGAACACUGUGCAUUGUGACAAAUGCAAUAAAGAAUACUUUUCCA